This 295-nucleotide long non-coding RNA is filed under the name Pan troglodytes (chimpanzee). RNAcentral's name for it is "long non-coding RNA NONPTRT008741". The record is from RNAcentral. Lineage: Eukaryota; Metazoa; Chordata; Mammalia; Primates; Hominidae.
GUUUCACUAGGCCAGUACCUGUGGGCUGCUUCUCUAGCAGAGAAAUACUGUGACUUUGAUAUAUUGGUACAAAUGUGUGAGCAGACUGACAACCAGAGCCGACUCCAGCGCUACAUGACCCAGUUUGCUGAUCAGAAUUUUUCAGACUUUCUCUUCCGUUGGUAUCUGGAGAAAGGAAAGCGAGGCAAAUUAUUAUCUCAGCCCAUUUCUCAGCAUGGACAGUUGGCAAAUUUUUUGCAAGCUCAUGAACAUCUCAGCUGGUUACAUGAAAUUAAUAGCCAAGAAUUAGAAAAGG